This is a non-coding RNA of Cinara cedri, 480 nucleotides long. Lineage: Eukaryota; Metazoa; Arthropoda; Insecta; Hemiptera; Aphididae. The record is from the annotation of a GenBank genome assembly.
CAUUUUUUUACUACUCAUUUUUGGCGUCUACUUUUAAAUACAGCACAGCCCUAUGACAUAUAUUUCGUCAACAACUUAACAUAAUACAUGAAUCGCUAAUCGAAAAUGCAGAAGAGCACAUUUUCAAAUUUUUAAAUUCUGAAGGAAGAAUUCAAAUACUAAAUAUUUAUGUAAAGAAAAAAAAAAAAGAAAAAUACAAGUCCAUUUUAAUAAAUAAUAAUUAAUAUAGGAGAUGGAAAACUCGUACAAAAUUAGGUAAUCUAUUAUAUGGACAUAGUGUAGACGUCGACACAAGAUAGUGUGAAUCCCUAUACCAGAUAGUGUUAACUCUUUUACAAGAUAGUGUAAUCUCCUAAACUAAAUAGUUCAAUAGAAAGUUUAAACGAAAAUUCCAAUUGUAUUUAAAAAAAAAAAUAACAUCAGUCUUGUAAGUUAAAAAUACCGUUAAUAAUCCAACAAUCAAUUAAAAAUAAUAGGUCU